CCUACGGGUGGCUGCAGUGAGGAAUAUUGGUCAAUGGACGCAAGUCUGAACCAGCCAUGCCGCGUGCAGGAAGACGGCUCUAUGAGUUGUAAACUGCAUUUGUACGAGGGUAAACGCAGAUACGCGUAUCUGUCUGAAAGGAUCGUACGAAUAAGGAUCGGCUAACUCCGGGCCAGCAGCCGCGGUAAUACGGAGGAUUCAAGCGUUAUCCGGAUUUAUUGGGUUUAAAGGGUGCGUAGGCGGUCGGAUAAGUUAGAGGUGAAAUCCCGAGGCUCAACUUCCGAAUUGCCUUUGAUACUGGUCGACGAGAGAGUAGAUGCGGUAGGCGGAAUGUAUGGUGUAGCGGUGAAAUGCAUAGAGAGCAUACAGAACACCGAUUGCGAAGGCAGCUUACCAAGCUACUACUGACGUUGAGGCACGAAGGCGUGGGGAGCAAACAGGAUUAGAUACCCUAGUAGUC
RNAcentral lists this ribosomal RNA (460 nucleotides) under uncultured bacterium. Its description in RNAcentral is "partial 16S ribosomal RNA". It matches the Rfam family "Bacterial small subunit ribosomal RNA", at positions 338 to 795 of the family's 1533-position model. The record is from RNAcentral.